GGGGAUUUGGCUCAAUGGUAGAGCGCUUGCCUAGGAAGCACAAGGUCCUGGGUUUGAUCCCCAGCCCCG
Molecule: non-coding RNA, 69 nt
Organism: Rattus norvegicus (Norway rat)
Lineage: Eukaryota; Metazoa; Chordata; Mammalia; Rodentia; Muridae
Source: Rfam